GGGUCAGUAGGUUGGUCGUGCCACCGGUACGUACUGGUCUCACUGAUUCCUCCUUCCUGAAGAACCGUAAUGCCAUUAAUUUGGUGUUGCGGGGAAACAGGACAGUUACUUUGAAAAAAUUAGAGUGAUUAAAGCAAGCUAACGCUUGAAUACAUUAGCAUGGAAUAAUGAAAUAGGACGAUCGAUCCUAUUUUGUUGGUUUCUAGGAUUGACGUA
RNAcentral lists this ribosomal RNA (216 nucleotides) under Glomeromycotina sp. RNAcentral's name for it is "partial small subunit ribosomal RNA". The stretch from base 40 to 216 matches the Rfam family "Eukaryotic small subunit ribosomal RNA", at positions 686 to 864 of the family's 1831-position model. The record is from RNAcentral. Lineage: Eukaryota; Fungi; Glomeromycota.